UACAGAGGUCUCAAGCGUUGUUCGGAUUCAUUGGGCGUAAAGGGCGCGUAGGUGGUUCGGUAAGUCGGGUGUUAAACCCCCAGGCUCAACCUGGGGACGCCACUCGAUACUGCUGUGACUAGAGUCCGGUAGGGGAGCGUGGAAUUCCUGGUGUAGCGGUGAAAUGCGCAGAUAUCAGGAGGAACACCAGCGGCGAAGGCGGCGCUCUGGGCCGGUACUGACACUGAGGAGCGAAAGCGUGGGUAGCAAACAGG
RNAcentral lists this ribosomal RNA (254 nucleotides) under uncultured bacterium. RNAcentral's name for it is "partial 16S ribosomal RNA". It matches the Rfam family "Bacterial small subunit ribosomal RNA", at positions 524 to 776 of the family's 1533-position model. The record is from RNAcentral.